UAAAUCAUAAGUCAUUCUCAAAAGCACUUUUUUAUACUCCUUUCUCUCAAAAACGAAAAUACAACUUUCUCAAGCUCCAUCAAUGGCUCCUUCAAGGAAACUCAAAGGAAAGGCAAAAAUAGGAGAAGGUACCUCUAAUCCUACCAAUGAUUCUAAAAGUGUAGCUCCUCAACCAACAAUGAUGCAAAGAAGACUUCAAUUUCCUUUCCGGAAUAGAGCUCUCACUUCGGUAAAAUACG
RNAcentral lists this long non-coding RNA (239 nucleotides) under Lathyrus oleraceus (garden pea). Its description in RNAcentral is "Pisum sativum (pea) long non-coding RNA (PSAT_LNC029828)". The record is from RNAcentral. Lineage: Eukaryota; Viridiplantae; Streptophyta; Magnoliopsida; Fabales; Fabaceae.